AGAAGAAAAAAUGCUAUUUGAGAAAGAUGGAAUUUGUUUUGUAGAAACUACACUGGGAAUACCUCAAGCUCCCAGCUCUUAGCAACAGGGAGGGGAGCGGGAGUGGGGUUAGCUUCGUACCACAACUCAGAGGUGAUGAACUCGUAUCACUCUCGAGAAACUAUGUCCUUUUAUGCUAAAAACAGCAUAAUCAUAGUUAAAAGACCACUGCUCACAAUUUGAAAUUGUCUUAAGUGUGCAGAAGGUGACAGAUCACCUCCAUCUGCUUCUUUUCUCAUAUUGCAACAGCUCAGCGUGAAACCACAACACAAGCAGCAGACAGCACAGAGCUGUGCAGCAGGGAUCUCCAACUGGGGGGUUUUGUUUCAUUACCUUUAAAACCUGGUUUCUCUUUUGAUUUAAGGUUCUGCAUCAUCAGGUGUGAUGGUGGUUCCUCUGCAGUAAAAAAAAA
Molecule: long non-coding RNA, 451 nt
Organism: Oryzias melastigma (Indian medaka)
Lineage: Eukaryota; Metazoa; Chordata; Actinopteri; Beloniformes; Adrianichthyidae
Exons: 2
Source: RefSeq, a predicted model, not a curated record